AAUGAACGUUGGCGGCGUGGAUUAGGCAUGCAAGUCGAGCGUGUACCCGCAAGGGGAAAGCGGCAAACGGGGUAGGAACGCGUAGGUCACGUACCCCUCGGCCGGGGAUAGCCACGGGAAACUGUGGGUAAUACCCGAUGACGCCGAGAGGCCAAAGGUGUGAUUCCGCCGGGGGAGCGGCCUGCGUAGUAUUAGCUAGUUGGUGAGGUAACGGCUCACCAAGGCGAAGAUGCUUAGGGGGUGUGAGAGCAUGACCCCCACCACUGGGACUGAGAUACUGCCCAGACACCUACGGGUGGCUGCAGUCGAGAAUCUUCGGCAAUGGGGGCAACCCUGACCGAGCGACGCCGCGUGUGGGAUGAAGGCCCUUGGGUUGUAAACCACUGUCAGAGGGGAUGAAACGAUCAUGGGUUCUCCCAUGGUCCUGACAUAGCCUCAGAGGAAGCACGGGCUAAGUUCGUGCCAGCAGCCGCGGUAAUACGAACUGUGCAAACGUUAUUCGGAAUCACUGGGACG
This 516-nucleotide ribosomal RNA is filed under the name uncultured bacterium. RNAcentral describes it as "bacterial SSU rRNA". It matches the Rfam family "Bacterial small subunit ribosomal RNA", at positions 28 to 561 of the family's 1533-position model. The record is from RNAcentral.